Molecule: ribosomal RNA, 253 nt
Filed under: uncultured bacterium
Lineage: Bacteria
Description: partial 16S ribosomal RNA
Rfam family: Bacterial small subunit ribosomal RNA
Source: RNAcentral
UACGUAGGGUGCAAGCGUUAAUCGGAAUUACUGGGCGUAAAGCGUGCGCAGGCGGUUGUGCAAGACAGAUGUGAAAUCCCCGGGCUCAACCUGGGAACUGCAUUUGUGACUGCACAGCUGGAGUGCGGCAGAGGGGGAUGGAAUUCCGCGUGUAGCAGUGAAAUGCGUAGAUAUGUGGAGGAACACCGAUGGCGAAGGCAGCCCCCUGGGUCAAGAUUGACGCUCAUGCACGAAAGCGUGGGGAGCAAACAGG